RNAcentral lists this ribosomal RNA (464 nucleotides) under Ensifer sp. S4. Its description in RNAcentral is "bacterial SSU rRNA". It matches the Rfam family "Bacterial small subunit ribosomal RNA", at positions 297 to 779 of the family's 1533-position model. Lineage: Bacteria; Pseudomonadati; Pseudomonadota; Alphaproteobacteria; Hyphomicrobiales; Rhizobiaceae. The record is from RNAcentral.
AGGAUGAUCAGCCACAUUGGGACUGAGACACGGCCCAAACUCCUACGGGAGGCAGCAGUGGGGAAUAUUGGACAAUGGGCGCAAGCCUGAUCCAGCCAUACCGCGUGAGUGAUGAAGGCCUUAGGGUUGUAAAGCUCUUUCAGCGGUGAAGAUAAUCCCGGUAACCGAAGAAGAAGCCCCGGCUAACUUCGUGCCAGCAGCCGCGGUAAUACGAAGGGGGCUAGCGUUGUUCGGAAUUACUGGGCGUAAAGCGCAUGUAGGCGGACAUUUAAGUCAGGGGUGAAAUCCCGGGGCUCAACCUCGGAACUGCCUUUGAUACUGGGUGUCUAGAGUGUGGAAGAGGUAAGUGGAAUUCCGAGUGUAGAGGUGAAAUUCGUAGAUAUUCGCAGGAACACCAGUGGCGAAGGCGGCUUACUGGUCCAUUACUCACGCUGAGGUGCGAAAGCGUGGGAGCAAACAGGAUU